RNAcentral lists this ribosomal RNA (268 nucleotides) under uncultured Planctomycetales bacterium. RNAcentral describes it as "partial 16S ribosomal RNA". It matches the Rfam family "Bacterial small subunit ribosomal RNA", at positions 565 to 832 of the family's 1533-position model. The record is from RNAcentral. Lineage: Bacteria; Pseudomonadati; Planctomycetota; Planctomycetia; Planctomycetales.
GAGCACGUAGGUGGGUUUGUAAGUAGAUGUGAAAGCCUUCUGUUCCACGGAAGAAUUGCAUCUGAACCUACAAACCUUGAGUAUAGGAGGGGAGAAUGGAACUUCUGGUGGAGCGGUGAAAUGCGUAGAUAUCAGAAGGAACGCCGGCGGCGAAAGCGAUUCUCUGGCCUAUUACUGACACUCAGUGUGCGAAAGCUAGGGGAGCAAACGGGAUUAGAUACCCCGGUAGUCCUAGCCGUAAACGAUGGGCACUAAGUAGAGGGGUUUU